GACGAACGCUGGCGGCGUGCUUAACACAUGCAAGUCGAACGGAAAGGCCCUGCUUGCAGGGUGCUCGAGUGGCGAACGGGUGAGUAACACGUGGGUGAUCUGCCCCUUACUUUGGGAUAAGCCUGGGAAACUGGGUCUAGUACUGGAUAGGACCAUGCUGUAGGUGGUGUGGUGGAAAGAUUAGUUUCGGUAAGGGAUGAGCUCGCGGCCUAUCAGCUUGUUGGUGGGGUAAUGGCCUACCAAGGCGUCGACGGGUAGCCGGCCUGAGAGGGUGGACGGCCACAUUGGGACUGAGAUACGGCCCAGCCUCCUACGGGAGGCAGCAGAGGGGAAUAUUGCACAAUGGGCGCAAGCCUGAUGCAGCGACGCCGCGUGGGGGAUGACGGCCUUCGGGUUGUAAACUCCUUUCAGCCAUGACGAAGCCCUUGUGGUGACGGUAGUGGUAGAAGAAGCACCGGCUAACUACGUG
This 469-nucleotide ribosomal RNA is filed under the name uncultured bacterium. RNAcentral's name for it is "partial 16S ribosomal RNA". It matches the Rfam family "Bacterial small subunit ribosomal RNA", at positions 28 to 507 of the family's 1533-position model. The record is from RNAcentral.